GACGAACGCUGGCGGCGUGCUUAACACAUGCAAGUCGAACGGAAAGGCCCUGCUUUUGUGGGGUGCUCGAGUGGCGAACGGGUGAGUAACACGUGAGUAACCUGCCCUUAACUUUGGGAUAACUUCAGGAAACUGGGGCUAAUACCGGAUAGGAGCUCCUGCUGCAUGGUGGGGGUUGGAAAGUUUCGGCGGUUGGGGAUGGACUCGCGGCCUAUCAGCUUGUUGGUGGGGUAGUGGCUUACCAAGGCUUUGACGGGUAGCCGGCCUGAGAGGGUGACCGGCCACAUUGGGACUGAGAUACGGCCCAGACUCCUACGGGAGGCAGCAGUGGGGAAUAUUGCACAAUGGGCGGAAGCCUGAUGCAGCAACGCCGCGUGCGGGAUGACGGCCUUCGGGUUGUAAACCGCUUUCGCCUGUGACGAAGCGUGAGUGACGGUAAUGGGUAAAGAAGCACCGGCUAACUACGUG
RNAcentral lists this ribosomal RNA (468 nucleotides) under uncultured bacterium. Its description in RNAcentral is "partial 16S ribosomal RNA". It matches the Rfam family "Bacterial small subunit ribosomal RNA", at positions 28 to 507 of the family's 1533-position model. The record is from RNAcentral.